AGUCGAGGGGUAUAGGUUUUCGGACCUAGAGACCGGCGCACGGGUGCGUAACGCGUAUGCAAUCUACCUUUUACAGAGGGAUAGCCCAGAGAAAUUUGGAUUAAUACCUCAUAGUAUUAUUGAAUGGCAUCAUUUAGUAAUUAAAGUCACGACGGUAAAAGAUGAGCAUGCGUCCCAUUAGCUUGUUGGUAGGGUAACGGCUUACCAAGGCAACGAUGGGUAGGGGUCCUGAGAGGGAGAUCCCCCACACUGGUACUGAGACACGGACCAGACUCCUACGGGAGGCAGCAGUGAGGAAUAUUGGUCAAUGGGCGCAAGCCUGAACCAGCCAUGCCGCGUGCAGGAUGAAGCAUCUAUGGUGUGUAAACUGCUUUUGUACGAGAAGAAACACUCCUACGUGUAGGAGCUUGACGGUAUCGUAAGAAUAAGGACCGGCUAACUCCGUGCCAGCAGCCGCGGUAAUACGGAGGGUCCAAGCGUUAUCCGGAAUCAUUGGGUUUAAAGGGUCCGUAGGCGGUUUUGUAAGUCAGUGGUGAAAGCCCAUCGCUCAACGGUGGAACGGCCAUUGAUACUGCAAGACUUGAAUUAUUAGGAAGUAACUAGAAUAUGUAGUGUAGCGGUGAAAUGCUUAGAGAUUACAUGGAAUACCAAUUGCGAAGGCAGGUUACUACUAAUGGAUUGACGCUGAUGGACGAAAGCGUGGGGAGCGAACAGGAUUAGAUACCCUGGUAGUCCACGCCGUAAACGAUGGAUACUAGCUGUUCGGAGCAAUCUGAGUGGCUAAGCGAAAGUGAUA
Molecule: ribosomal RNA, 796 nt
Filed under: uncultured Bacteroidota bacterium
Lineage: Bacteria; Pseudomonadati; Bacteroidota
Description: bacterial SSU rRNA
Rfam family: Bacterial small subunit ribosomal RNA
Source: RNAcentral